This 499-nucleotide long non-coding RNA is filed under the name Setaria viridis. RNAcentral's name for it is "long non-coding RNA (SVIR_LNC000342)". The record is from RNAcentral. Lineage: Eukaryota; Viridiplantae; Streptophyta; Magnoliopsida; Poales; Poaceae.
GGGAGAAAAAUGAGUUUGUUUGUUGUUAAGCAUGUAGAGGAUUUGUAUUUAUACAUAUUUUUGAGCUGCAAUGUGAUGAAUAGUUUGAAUGUGAGGAAGAAUGGACAGUAAAUGUGAGCUAGAAUUCAGAUUAUUUCAAUUUUAUGUAUUAGGAAAAAAUUAGAGUAAAUGUGUUUGUAAUAUUUAUAAAUUAGCCAUAUAAACUGUAGGUGUAAUUUCAUACUUUAUUACUUUUCAGAUAGAGGUAUGGAAUUAGCCAUUUUUAGAAUAAGUAAAUUAGGUGGGAAAUAUUAAAUUUUUUAAUAGUUUAGUUAUUUGUAAAUUAAAUAUGAGCUAAAUAAUUUGUGUAUUUCUAUGUAAACAUUCAGCAAUAUUUGAGUUUGUCGUAGUGUAUCAUGUUGUUUGCUUCUGAAAUUUUAAUUUGUGUAUUUCUAUCUAAAAUUUUAGUAAUGUGAUGGAUAGUUUUAUUGUAAUCCAUUUUAUUGAUGGCUUGCGUAAU